Molecule: unclassified non-coding RNA, 345 nt
Filed under: soil metagenome
Description: partial contains 5.8S ribosomal RNA, internal transcribed spacer 2, and large subunit ribosomal RNA
Rfam family: 5.8S ribosomal RNA (bases 1-120)
Source: RNAcentral
GAUGAAGAACGCAGCGAAAUGCGAUACGUAAUGUAAAUUGCAGAAUUCAGUGAAUCAUCGAGUCUUUGAACGCACAUUGCGCCCCCUGGUAUUCCGGGGGGCAUGCCUGUCCGAGCGUCAUUGCUGCCCUCAAGCACGGCUUGUGUGUUGGGCCUCCGUCCUCCUCCCGGGGGACGGGCCCGAAAGGCAGCGGCGGCACCGCGUCCGGUCCUCGAGCGUAUGGGGCUUCGUCACCCGCUCUUGUAGGCCCGGCCGGCGCUUGCCGACACAUCAAUCUUUUUUCCAGGUUGACCUCGGAUCAGGUAGGGAUACCCGCUGAACUUAAGCAUAUCAAUAAGCGGAGGA